Molecule: non-coding RNA, 70 nt
Organism: Dallia pectoralis (Alaska blackfish)
Lineage: Eukaryota; Metazoa; Chordata; Actinopteri; Esociformes; Umbridae
Source: the annotation of a GenBank genome assembly
GCUGAGGUGGUCCUGUGUUCUAGGUCGUGUCUACAGCGCUACCGCGUGGGUUCGAUUCCCACCUGCAGCA